CCUACAUCUUGAAGAGCGAGCGGCCAAGUGCACUGUGCACCAUGUACGUUGUUAUCCCUGGUCUUGAGUUUCCAGACAAACUCCCUUCAAAGCUGCAUUUAGGAGCCCCCUCCAAAUCUGGUGGCAAGCGGCAGCAUCUCGCAGCACUGGUGCAGGAUAUUGGAAACCAACUAUCCAGGCUCCCGCCCCUUCUCUGGAUGUGGAGUCACUACAGCCAACCAGCAGCAGACCUCCCGUCUGCAUUCCUUGUAGAGCCCCUCUCUAAGAGCAUGGAAGAAAGCAAUUCUCCAUACCUGAGGCUUCUUCCUGGGUCGUCCCCGCCCUCUCUUCUCAGACACGUCCUCCUCCUGUUUGGAAGCCAAGGGCUGGCUGGAUUUUGCACUAGAUUCACUCAUCGUCUUUCUUCCAGAGGACAAAAGAAAAGAAGAAGAAAGGGUGGUGAAUGGACUGAUUGCUUCUGGUUCCCAAGGGCAAGAAUUUCAAAGGUUUCCAGCUCAUGUGGUUGUGGAGAAAAACAUGACCUGUGGAGGCUCAGAAACUAGAAGACAAACCCAAAAGAACCCCAGAUUUUAUUAGUUUUUCAACCGAGUUUUUUAACUUGGUCUCAUGGGUUUUGGGGGCCUGACUCAUGAUCUUUGAAUGCCUGGGACAGGCAGUACUACACUAUUCCAUCCAAAGCAAUUGCUGUAUUGUUCACAAUGAUGUUACACAUUUGGGAAUGGGAUGGGAGGCAUCCCUGAGAUUAUCCCUCUGUUAAAAUGUGGUUUCCAGUCAGAGGAAGUAGGAGAGUUCUAGGUUUCUAGGUAGAGCUGACUGGGAACAUUCUAAUGAACCACUUGUUAUUGGAAUUUUCCAAUUUGUUGAAAUGGAAACAGUUUGCAGAGACAGUUCAAUUUUCAUGACGUUCCGACAGAAACCCGCCAGCUUGCCUGUGCAUCUCUGGGGCAGCCUCCGGGCUGCUAGAGAUGCCAGGGCUUCCGGAUGCAGAGCUGUGGGUCAACCCUGGCAUUCAGAGUGCCCUGGGGCAAGGGGCACCAGGGCUUCCAAAUCCGGGGCUCUGGAGUAGCCUGCUGAGUGGGCUGUCCAAGAACCGGGGCUCCAUUCCCAUUUGCAGACAAUUUUGAAAAUUUUAGGGUUUGUUCCAAACUGGAAUGAAACUGAAUUUUGAAAUAUUGAGCUCCUCCCCCAGAUGGAACGACCUUUAUAUUCCCAUCCCUCGGCCUGCUCCGAGAUAGACUCACUCUCGUCUCCCGCUAACAUGAAACCUUUGUCGGGCAGCCUUCUUGGCCACAAAGCACAGGCUGGUGGAAGCAAUGAACCUGCAGCUCCACAUGGUAAAUGCGGACGAUGGAGCCGGAGCUGAACUUCCCCAAAGUUUGAGAUGUGCGCGCCGGUAUGUCGAGGCACAGUGUGUGUGCACAUGUAUGUUGCGGGAGGGGUGUGUGUGCAUGCAUAUUGGUGGCUGCGUGUUCAUUAUCUCACAUGUGGUUCUGGAGCAGACCUGUCUGACAAAGCAGGGGUAGUAAGGACGUUGGGUGGUGAGGCUCACGCGCGCCUUUGGCUCAGUGAAGAUGAGCACCCCCUCUGGAGUCUGUAUCUGAGGCUGCUGCCAUGUGCUUGGAGGCUAGUGAGCUGAUAAGUUGCAUUAAGGACUCCUACUCUUGGAGCUUGGAAUCCAGGCCUGAUACUGAGAUUGGCCUGUCAACCUGAGCCCUUGGGGGGUUAACCACAGCUUGAGUCACAAAGGCAGCAUGGGGGAGACUGAAUCUGCUCUGGGGAGCAAAGUGCUCCAGCAAGAGUAUGGGGGGUGGGAGGGCAGAGCUUGGAGACUGUACACAAGAAUGUACCUGCCAGCCUCCUCCCACUGAACAAAUCCUCCCUCAGCCCCAGCCAGCUGGCACGAGGGAUACGAACAAAGAGUUGUAAAAAGGCCAGAGAGGAAAAUUAUUAACGUGGGGAAUGCUGCUAAGGAGGAAUGCAAAGAGACAAUUAAUUGAGGACUCAGUGCUUGGCUCAGAGGUCUUCUCUUGCAAAUGGAGCAUCCAAACUAAGCUGCAGGAAAAAUAUUGUAGCAAUUCCAUGAGCGCCUACAACAUCAUCUCUCUCAUUGUGCUGCUUGCCACAGCCACAGGGAACUUCGCAGUAGCAGGGAUACUGCACAGAUGGUCCUGUUCUGAGAGCACUGGCCUUUACCCUUUGUGCUGACAGAGAAUCUCCAUUAGCAGUAUAAGGCCUAUGAUACAUAGCUGAGCAGUUCUGACUCCACCCAGUAGAGGGCAAGACACACACACACACACGCGCGCAUGCACACGCUAGCCAGCUCAUUAUCUGUCAUCACAUUCAAAUAUGCAAAUCGAUUUUACAGUUUCCAAUGAGCUGUGCAGCAUUUUUAUUUAUCCAGCACCUAACAUUCGUUAGUGCUUUAGAGGUAAACAAAGAAACAAGGCUCCUGCUUUAAGGAGCUUGCCAUGAAAAUAUCAGCUGAUGGCACUUCUGGAUCUGAUUCUCCCUGGCCAUGCAUUAUGGGCAGCCAUUUUUAUCCUUGCAAAGUAGGUGUAAAAAGCAUUCUCCACUCAUGGUGGUGGGACUGUUUUGAAACCCUUGCCCGGGUGUAAAUUACGCCAGUGUGCAAAGCAGUGAAGAAUCAGGCCCACUGGCAAUAGCAAUAGAAAAAAGCUUGUGGAAUAUUUGAGCGGCUGCUUGUGUUUCUGUGAAGCAUUUUCAGCUUCUAGCUGGAUUCCUGCAGCUGCUCUGUUUUGGGUCAAUGCCCCCCCCUCGCCCCCAGCCACCCCCGGGCUUUUGGUCUCCGCUAGUCGCACAAGUUCACUGUGGCAAAGGGGAAUAACUCAGGCAAACAGAGAGCUUGUCCCAGCGCCAAGAAAACAUUCUUCCAGGCCAAAUUCCUUGACACUUUCCCUUUUACUCAGCUCCGGUUUGAAAAGUACCCUGGUGGAGGGACUUCCCUUCUGUGAGUCACCCCUUGGUCAUGAGGGGUGACUCAGCACUCAGACACGAGGCCAGCCACUGGCCUGGGACUCCUGCAGGAAACUGGAAGGAAGGCGACUGGAGAACAAAUGCUCAGAGGAGGCGAGGCGGGAAUGGAGGUGGCGGGGGUGUAUGUGUGUGUGGGGGGGAGAAUUACAGGUGAUAGGCAGGAAAAGGGCAGAAUGAGAGAUGGGGAUAAUGCCAGGGGAAGAGAAGGAGCAAAGGGUAUUAAAAGAGAUAGAA
This is a long non-coding RNA of Chelonia mydas (Green sea turtle), 3228 nucleotides long. RefSeq lists it as uncharacterized. The record is from RefSeq and is a predicted model, not a curated record. The transcript has 4 exons. Lineage: Eukaryota; Metazoa; Chordata; Testudines; Cheloniidae.